CUGCGCGUAGGCCAGGAACGCACCAGCGGCUUCGUCCGCCGCCGGGUGGCCGCCCUGCCCGAGGACGCAUCGGAUCUCGACCGUCUGCGCGAG
This 93-nucleotide transfer RNA is filed under the name Nocardia cerradoensis. RNAcentral describes it as "tRNA-Thr". The record is from RNAcentral. Lineage: Bacteria; Bacillati; Actinomycetota; Actinomycetes; Mycobacteriales; Nocardiaceae.